GAUGAACGCUGGGGGCGUGCCUAAUACAUGCAAGUCGAGCGAACAGACGAGGAGCUUGCUCCUCUGACGUUAGCGGCGGACGGGUGAGUAACACGUGGAUAACCUACCUAUAAGACUGGGAUAACUUCGGGAAACCGGAGCUAAUACCGGAUAAUAUAUUGAACCGCAUGGUUCAAUAGUGAAAGACGGUUUUGCUGUCACUUAUAGAUGGAUCCGCGCCGCAUUAGCUAGUUGGUAAGGUAACGGCUUACCAAGGCAACGAUGCGUAGCCGACCUGAGAGGGUGAUCGGCCACACUGGAACUGAGACACGGUCCAGACUCCUACGGGAGGCAGCAGUAGGGAAUCUUCCGCAAUGGGCGAAAGCUUGACGGAGCAACGCCGCGUGAGUGAUGAAGGUCUUCGGAUCGUAAAACUCUGUUAUUAGGGAAGAACAAAUGUGUAAGUAACUAUGCACGUCUUGACGGUACCUAAUCAGAAAGCCACGGCUAACUACGUG
Molecule: ribosomal RNA, 497 nt
Filed under: uncultured bacterium
Lineage: Bacteria
Description: partial 16S ribosomal RNA
Rfam family: Bacterial small subunit ribosomal RNA
Source: RNAcentral